Molecule: long non-coding RNA, 1547 nt
Organism: Panicum virgatum (switchgrass)
Lineage: Eukaryota; Viridiplantae; Streptophyta; Magnoliopsida; Poales; Poaceae
Exons: 2
Source: RefSeq, a predicted model, not a curated record
CAUUAAUUUCAUGUUCUCUGCCCCCUUCUUUCUAUCAUGGAGCUGAAGCUGAGUGCGGCAGGCUAAUGAGCCAGGCGGCGGAGGCGGCGGCGGCGUGCGAUGGUUCCAGUCACCGGCGGCACAGCCUUGCGGCGGGAUGCAAUACAAGCACCCAAGCCGCCGGCACCUGCAUAGGCCUACAGCAGCAAGCCCUAAUCGAAUGGAUCUUGCAAGCGGCAUGAACCAGCGGCGGCGGUGCGGCAGCCCGUCCAGCGACCGCUGCUCUUCUUCCUCCACGAUGGGCCGGCAUCACACGGGCAGUUCUCCUUUCUGCUGGAGCCACGCAUCAUAAUCUGCGGAGGCAUCAUAGCUGUGAUCUGCUUUGGAGUUCCGAUCUAGAACGGUCCCGUUCUUCUCACACAUGAAGGAUCACCAGAAAUAGCAUUACGGAGCCAGCGAGGAAAUUGGAUGCUACACCGUCCAAUGGAAAGCAAGUGACAUACUUUUUUUCUAGAUCUGAAAGCAAAUCCAUCGAUCUUGAGACCAUGGUAUUUUUUUUUCUCUCAUUUAGCAGCCUCAUGAAUCACUGGAACCAAGCUUUCACUGUCGCUCUCCUCAACGAGCAAAUCUGCACACGAGCAGGAGCUGUAUCUCCCUCUCCCUCCAUGCAUUGGGGUCAGUUGGAUCCAUGCCACUCCAAUUUCUUGAAAUUGGAUCUCAUGCCAUUGAAAAUCAUGCCAUUGAAUGGCAUGAUUUUCAACAUGACACCCAAUUUCACGGAGUUGUGGUGGCAUGAAUCGAAUUUUCCCUUCUUAUUUAUAUGCUUCUCUGUACCCCUUGUUCUUCUAAUUGGUUGGGGUCAAAGAUCUGUUGCACUAAAAUAAAAAGUGUCCACAUUUUUCCUUACAGCAUGCAGAUCGAGGGGAAUGCCGGAACAAUAUUAUGCAGCUCAUGCUAAUCUCCCAGGUGGUUUUGUACGGGUCUGGCUAGUGACGCCUUUAAUGGAUGCCAGUCUAUCGGAGAGAUCGCUGUGGCGGUUCUCGACGGAUCUGCUUCGAUGAGCUGACAACAUGACUAACUGCAAGUAAUUGAUGAGGAAGAAAAGGUGCGUGGGUGCUGUGGCUUCGUCUCGAGGCAGUCUGCACCCUCGUGCCCUCAAUUUCAAUCUCACACUAACUAUGUCAUGUUUUCCACUAAUAGUAUUGUUUCAUAAAUUAGAGUAGUAAUUUUUUUCUUACUCAAGUAGUAUUUUCCAUAAUUUAGAGAAGUAUUUCAACAAUUUUGAGUAAUAUUUUUCAUAAUAUAGAGUAGUAUUUUUUUCUUACUCUAGUAGUAUUUUCCACUAGAGAAGUAUUUCUGGAGUUGUUGAGUAGUAUUUUUCAUAAUAUAGAGUAGUAUUUUUUAUGCUUUAUAGUACGUAGUUCACAACUUGUGAAUCAUGAGACCAUGUAGUUUGCAGUUUUUGAAAUCCGUCUUCUAUUGUAAAUGUGGCAUAGAAGUACAUCCGCAGUUGAUGAUUCAAAGACUCUAGAUGUAAAGUUUGACGGAGCUAGCAAUCUUGUUUUUUC